RNAcentral lists this ribosomal RNA (166 nucleotides) under Salmonella enterica subsp. enterica serovar Paratyphi B. RNAcentral's name for it is "partial 23S ribosomal RNA". It matches the Rfam family "Bacterial large subunit ribosomal RNA", at positions 1 to 158 of the family's 2925-position model. Lineage: Bacteria; Pseudomonadati; Pseudomonadota; Gammaproteobacteria; Enterobacterales; Enterobacteriaceae. The record is from RNAcentral.
GGGUUGUGAGGUUAAGCGACUAAGCGUACACGGUGGAUGCCCUGGCAGUCAGAGGCGAUGAAGGACGUGCUAAUCUGCGAUAAGCGUCGGUAAGGUGAUAUGAACCGUUAUAACCGGCGAUUUCCGAAUGGGGAAACCCAGUGUGAUUCGUCACACUAUCAUUACG